UUGUAUCUGGAGCCAGCGAGGAUGAGAACCUCCGGGGGCGGGCGAGCGAAGCGAGAGAACGUUGCGCGAGCAACGGCCCGCAGGGCGAGCCAUCCUCUCAUUGCUGACA
This 109-nucleotide small RNA is filed under the name Salmonella enterica. RNAcentral describes it as "RtT sRNA". It matches the Rfam family "RtT RNA". Rfam says of the family: This family represents a bacterial cis-regulatory element known as RtT RNA. The record is from RNAcentral. Lineage: Bacteria; Pseudomonadati; Pseudomonadota; Gammaproteobacteria; Enterobacterales; Enterobacteriaceae.